CAGCAGCCGCGGGAAUACGGAGGGUGCAAGCGUUAUCCGGAUUUAUUGGGUUUAAAGGGUCCGUAGGCGGAUCUGUAAGUCAGUGGUGAAAUCUCACAGCUUAACUGUGAAACUGCCAUUGAUACUGCAGGUCUUGAGUAAAUUUGAAGUGGCUGGAAUAAGUAGUGUAGCGGUGAAAUGCAUAGAUAUUACUUAGAACACCAAUUGCGAAGGCAGGUCACUAAGAUUUAACUGACGCUGAUGGACGAAAGCGUGGGGAGCGAACAGGAUUAGAUACCCGUGUAGUCCCUGUCUCUUAUAC
This 301-nucleotide ribosomal RNA is filed under the name uncultured bacterium. Its description in RNAcentral is "partial 16S ribosomal RNA". It matches the Rfam family "Bacterial small subunit ribosomal RNA", at positions 509 to 807 of the family's 1533-position model. The record is from RNAcentral.